Molecule: small nuclear RNA, 106 nt
Organism: Hippopotamus amphibius kiboko
Lineage: Eukaryota; Metazoa; Chordata; Mammalia; Artiodactyla; Hippopotamidae
Source: RefSeq, a predicted model, not a curated record
GUGCUCACUUCAGCAGCCCACAGGCUAACAUCGGAACCACACAGAGGAGAUUAGCAUGGCCCCUCGCAAAGGUGGCAUGCAAAUUUGUGAAGCGGUCCAUGUUUUC